GCACAGAGGUGAAACAAAUGUUGUAUUAUUGAGAAAUCAGAUUAUUUUGACAGGUGAGUGUUUCCAUGGUUUGUAAGAUUCCUUUAAUUGGAAUUAGAGCCCAGUUAGAUUAAAAAAAAACUCAUGUAACCACAUCAAUCAGACCAGACUGACUUGUUUAAGUUUUCAGUCAGAAUUUGAUGUCUGAUAAAUAAUUUGUCUUUCUGCUGAAGCUUGACUCAUGUGACACAUUGGGUCACAUGACAAGUUUCCUGGAGGGACGGAAAAAUAGUGGCAGCAAAACUGGUCUGGUCUCACAACUUUGACAGACUUUAAAAGAUUAAUGUUGAACGUCUCCCCAGUGAAUUUGUGGAUCUAUCGUAGUCAUCUUCAUAACAAAUCUGGAAAACAAUGUUUAAAAUAGUUUUGCACAAAAAAAGUCUACAUCUUACUGUAUCAACAUUAAUGUAAAUACAUGAAUUUCAGUCGGAAUGAGGCAACCAAUAAUGACUUAUUAUAACUCAUGAUACACCUCAACGUUAUUAAAUAGCAGACUUGAAUUUAAGCAUCAACUACACUGAUCUACAGUUUUUUUUUGAAAUUAUCUGCCUCUGAUUAAAUGUGCUAAAUCUUGCAUACUUUAAAGCUGCAGGAGACUUUUGCCAUCAAUUUUUCAUCACGUGUCAUGUCUCAGUCAUAGCCUAAGUAUCACAAAUCCAUAAGCCUUUCUGUGAUUUCUUCCCUCACAGUGAACAAUUUCAAAGUGUACUCCACCAUAAACAAUCCAUUUGCUUACAAACAGGGCUGGCAUUUUGGGAAGUUUGCUGCAACGUGCAUUGUGGGAAGCGGAGCUACAAGCAGCCGCAGUAGAAAGAGGCAAUGAAGCAGUUUCCAUGUUUGCUGCUGCUGUGACCAUAAUGCGCAUUGUGGCUGCAGCAUCUGAAACUGCUUCAUUGUCUCUUGCUACUGCUGCUGCUCAUAGAUCUGCUUCCCACAAUGCAUGUCGCAACAAAUUUCUGAAAAUGGCCGACUGACUUAGCCCUGUUUGUAAACAAAUGGAUUGUUUAUGGUGGAGUACACUUUGAAAUUGUUCACCGUGAGGGAAGAAAUUCAGGUGCGUCACGGAAAGGCUUACGGAUUUGCGAUACUUAGGCUACUACUGGGGUUUUACAGAUUUGAAGAAAAAUUGGUGACGAAAGUCUCCCGCCGCUUUAAGAUGAAUUUGAAAACAAAAGACUAAAGUGCUGUUAGCUGCUAUUUUCCAUGUUUGAUGAAGUGUUAUUACACAUAUCAGUUUAUGUACAUUUAUACAGUAGAUUUAUAAAUGUUGCAGUAGAAA
Long non-coding RNA from Sphaeramia orbicularis (orbiculate cardinalfish), 1318 nucleotides. RefSeq lists it as uncharacterized. The transcript has 3 exons. Lineage: Eukaryota; Metazoa; Chordata; Actinopteri; Kurtiformes; Apogonidae. The record is from RefSeq and is a predicted model, not a curated record.